Molecule: long non-coding RNA, 433 nt
Organism: Lynx canadensis (Canada lynx)
Lineage: Eukaryota; Metazoa; Chordata; Mammalia; Carnivora; Felidae
Exons: 4
Source: RefSeq, a predicted model, not a curated record
CGGGGGCGGGUCGUGCCGGCUCCGAGCUGCUCGGGUUCCGCUGUUCGCUGUACUUGGUGCGAAGUGGAAGCGAAGCAGCUCUGGUAUCACCACUCUUGGCCCUUUCUCAAGAGCAUCCGAAAAUGAACAAAUCCCAGCUUCGCAGCGCAAGUAAUCGACAAGCCUCCCGGUCGACGCGCUGCACCGUGACCGAGUCCUGCCGGAAGAAUGCGCACCCCAGUUACACCAGGGUCACGAGAGUCCCCUCGGCACACCUGCCCCCUCUGAAGGUUCAGAGACUUUCUCCCACCACGUGGCUGUUUGCCAGCUACGACGUGUGGAUUUCUAGGCAAGUGCUAUGAGGACUGUGAGGACCGACCGCUUUUCUCGUGACUUCUCUGCCCCCACACUUCUUGAAACUUUUCCUGGAGCAGGAGAAAAUGAACACAUCCCA